UAGAGCUCCGGAUGACGUCUUUGC
This 24-nucleotide non-coding RNA is filed under the name Rattus norvegicus (Norway rat). Lineage: Eukaryota; Metazoa; Chordata; Mammalia; Rodentia; Muridae. The record is from RNAcentral.